This 428-nucleotide ribosomal RNA is filed under the name uncultured bacterium. RNAcentral describes it as "partial 16S ribosomal RNA". It matches the Rfam family "Bacterial small subunit ribosomal RNA", at positions 354 to 796 of the family's 1533-position model. The record is from RNAcentral.
GUAGGGAAUAUUGGACAAUGGGGGCAACCCUGACGCAGCGACGCCGCGUGAGUGAUGAAGGCCUUCGGGUCGUAAAGCUCUGUUGCAGGGGAAUAAAAAAAUGAAGGUACCCUGUGAGGAAGGAUCGGCUAACUUCGUGCCAGCAGCCGCGGUAAGACGAGGGAUCCUAGCGUUGCUCGGAAUCAUUGGGCGUAAAGAGGGCGUAGGUGGCUUGGUAAGUCAGGUGUGAAAGCCCAGGGCUCAACCCUGGAAGUGCAUUUGAUACUGCUGAGCUUGAGUGUCGGAGAGGUUACCGGAAUACCUGGUGUAGUGGUGAAAUACGUAGAUAUCAGGUGGAACACCGGAGGCGAAGGCGGGUAACUGGACGAACACUGACACUGAGGCCCGAAAGCGUGGGGAUCAAACAGGAUUAGAUACCCCGGUAGUCC